Molecule: ribosomal RNA, 253 nt
Filed under: uncultured bacterium
Lineage: Bacteria
Description: partial 16S ribosomal RNA
Rfam family: Bacterial small subunit ribosomal RNA
Source: RNAcentral
GACAGAGGUGCCAAGCGUUAGGCGGAAUCACUGAGCUUAAAGCGUGUGUAGGCGGGCCGUUAAGUGUCUUGUGAAAUCCCCCGGCUCAACCGGGGAAUUGCUGGGCAUACUGGCGGUCUUGAGCAAUCUAGGGGCAGAUGGAACAAGUGGUGGAGCGGUGAAAUGCGUAGAUAUCACUUGGAACGCCAAAGGUGAAGACAGUCUGCUGGGGAUUUGCUGACGCUGAGACACGAAAGCCAGGGGAGCGAACGGG